CCUACGGGUGGCAGCAGUGGGGAAUAUUGCACAAUGGGGGAAACCCUGAUGCAGCGACGCCGCGUGAGUGAAGAAGUAUUUCGGUAUGUAAAGCUCUAUCAGCAGGAACGAAACAAGACGGUACCUGACUAAGACGCCCCGGCGAACUACGUGCCAGCAGCCGCGGUAAUACGUAGGGGGGAAGCGUUGUCCGGAAUCACUGGGUGUAAAGGGAGCGUAGGCGGCUGUGCAAGCUUGAUGUGAAAGGCCGGGGCCUAACCCCUGGACUGCUUUGGGAACUGUAAGGCUAGAGUUAGGGAGAGGUAAGUGGAAUUCCUAGUGUAGCGGUGAAAUGCGUAGAUAUUAGGAGGAACACCAGUGGCGAAGGCAGCUUACUGGACUGAAACUGACGUUGAGGCUCGAAAGCGUGGGGAGCAAACAGGAUUAGAUACCCUGGUAGUC
Molecule: ribosomal RNA, 441 nt
Filed under: uncultured bacterium
Lineage: Bacteria
Description: partial 16S ribosomal RNA
Rfam family: Bacterial small subunit ribosomal RNA
Source: RNAcentral